GUACCCUAAUAAAACUGGUGUGCAAGGCAAGUUGCGGCCACGAGGUAGAGCUGCUAUUCAUGAGGCGGAGUGUAGAUGAGUGCUUUAAGUUUGUCUGGGCUGAAGGACUUCUGUACUACAAUGGUUACUUGCUUCUGGGAGGCUUGGUGUUUCUAAGAGUAGUUUAUCUCACCCAGCUACUUGAGAGGUUACAAUGUUUUGCUCUUCCACACAAGUUUAUUCCUUGUGUAGAUUCUUUUCAUUGCUUGGCCACGGUUUAUUCCAGGUAACUAAAGAUAGUUUACUGUCGAGUGAGUCUUAUAUAUUGGAGCUUCUUUUGAAUCACAGGAGGAAUUGGCUGAAUUUGUAUAGUGGGUUGAAGAUAUUAACAAUGCUCUACGUGAUGUCCGCAAGGAUUGAGAAGACAAUUGGUCGGAUUGCUUUUGGAAGAGGCAUCAGAAAGAAUAGAAACCAUGAUGCCUAUGUUGAUUCAAAGUAUAGUUAUCAAGCAAACCAUUGCUGUUAUUAGUUCUUAGUUCCUCCUAUAUGUUUGAGAAAUUCAAAUGAUGGAAUCUAUGGUCCAUAUUUCCUUUAAUUUGUGGAAUAUAUAUUGUGUAACCAAUAGUGGACUGGAUGGGUGCUGCCAUCGUGCUUUGCUAUUUCGUGUAACAGGCUAAAUCGAAUAUGAAUCGUGUUCUAUCAAGUUGGAUAUAAUGUCACUGCAUUUGUAAAUAAGUUAUUGUGUGAUGUGAUUC
Molecule: long non-coding RNA, 734 nt
Organism: Triticum aestivum (bread wheat)
Lineage: Eukaryota; Viridiplantae; Streptophyta; Magnoliopsida; Poales; Poaceae
Exons: 4
Source: RefSeq, a predicted model, not a curated record